UACAGAGGUCCCAAGCGUUGUUCGGAUUCACUGGGCGUAAAGGGUGCGUAGGUGGUGGGGUAAGUCGGAUGUGAAAUCUCCGAGCUCAACUCGGAAAUGGCAUUGGAAACUACCCUGCUUGAGGGUCGGAGGGGGGACUGGAAUGCUUGGUGUAGCAGUGAAAUGCGUAGAUAUCAAGCGGAACACCAGUGGCGAAGGCGACUACCUGGCCUGUUCUUGACGCUGAGGCGCGAAAGCUAGGGGAGCAAACGGG
Molecule: ribosomal RNA, 253 nt
Filed under: uncultured bacterium
Lineage: Bacteria
Description: partial 16S ribosomal RNA
Rfam family: Bacterial small subunit ribosomal RNA
Source: RNAcentral